UAAACGCGUUCACAUCGCAGCUUUAACGAAACGCGUUUGGUUCCUUCCUCAUGGGUCCCAGUCAACGCGGAAGUGUCUCCAUGCUGUAGUUGACAGUCAUUCAUUUCAUAAAAAUCAAACAUCAUGCGUUACCUGUCCUGUGGGUGAAGUGCACAGUCCACUCAAAACUGUCAGAAGAUGUUGCGCAGAAGAACAAACGGACGAGAAGAUGCGGACAGUGUUAAACCUACCUGAUAGAAAGAAGGUGUGCACCUGUGACAGAGUCGGUCUGGGUUUCAGCCGAAGAUCCCUGCAGGCACAGAGAAAGUCUGGGGAAUAUCAACCACCAGAAGGAAGGUGGUCAAAGCUGCAGAUAUAGUCACACCCUUCAUCCUGAUUGGCUCUGAGCUGGGCACGCUCAACGGCAGAUUCUACAGUCACAUCCAUGACUCGCAAGUGUCUGACCUGGUGUUGAUCGAUCCGAUCCCAGAGGAUGUCUUUGAAGAGGAGAAGUGGCAGCAGUUCUGGAGAGUCAUCAGAGUGUGUGAGGCACAAACACAAUUCGUCAAAUCCCAAAUCCAUCCUAAUGCUGAGAGCCAGAGGAAGAAAUGAUGAAGUGUAUCUUUUUUUAAAGGUGUUAAAAUACUUUUUUACUUUAGGUAAGCCAAUCAGAGGUUGAUUUCUUUAGCAUACAGACUGUAGCUGUUUGUUUGAUCAUCCUGACUUAUCAGACACAAUGAAAACAGUCAUUUUUUAGCAAUUAUUGAGUUUGGUUAUGCUAGUGGAACAAUAUUACACACUUCACUUUUAACUUGCUUUUGCAGGAAAAUAAUAAAUUGAA
This is a long non-coding RNA of Cyprinus carpio (common carp), 820 nucleotides long. RefSeq lists it as uncharacterized. The transcript has 4 exons. The record is from RefSeq and is a predicted model, not a curated record. Lineage: Eukaryota; Metazoa; Chordata; Actinopteri; Cypriniformes; Cyprinidae.